Myotis davidii is the source of this 75-nucleotide non-coding RNA. The record is from Rfam. NCBI's taxonomy places the organism in Eukaryota, Metazoa, Chordata, Mammalia, Chiroptera, Vespertilionidae.
GGUGGUUCUUGGGUGACACACCCUUCAAUUGGGCUCCCUCCUCUCUGGUUCUGGGCGCAUCACCUGAGAUCCAAA